UCAGCUUCAUGACCUCCUCUGGAUUUGCUCCAGCAGUUUUUUGUCCUUCUUAGCCUUGAAAGGCUAAGGAGUAUUAGAGAAAGUGAAAGGAAAUAGAUUAGUGGAGUUCCACCCUUCAAUCCUUGAGGAAGGCCCACCAGGAGUCAGGGGACUUCCAUGCCUCUCACUGUCAGGCAGUUGGAGGACCUGGUGGAUGAAGGGGAGUGGAAAUGGGUCCCUACUUAAGGAUGUAAUAAAAGUUCCUCCUGACCCCCACCAUCUGUCCAGGUGCCACUUCAGAAUAGACCUACUUGUCAGACUGUGUCCUUACAGCAAGGAUUUCCAAAGUGAGUGACUGCUUUCUACUGCCAGGAUGUGACCCAGUUCAUGAAGAAGUACUAUUCCUACUGUUAGAAGUGCCUACAUUAUUUCAAUUCAUGACAGCAAGCACUGAGUGUUCAGCCAGCUCACAGAAGUGCUCUUCAUGUACCAAGAAGGAGAUGGGAUCUAGCUGGGGAGCACCAGGCAGAUAAACCAGAAGGCAGAAGUCAGCUUCCACUGAGUGCUCUUCUGAGCAAGGGCAGCAUGAAGCUCGCCCAGCACUGGCCCUUAGGCAUGGUAAGCCUACUCUGAUGGCAGACAGCCUCCCCAAAAUCGACUUCUUGACACAGGAGAGGUCAAUCACUAGCUGUUCUUAGCCACCAACUCAUAUGAGCAAGGAAAACAUACAACAAACAGUUAUUCUUCAGAAGUAUUUUCAAGGGUUAGAUUCUCCCACUCACCCACAACAGGUAAGCUGUCAGAAAACCUCUAUUCUCCUAAGCCAUCAGCUGCUUCUCAUCAUUACACCUUUUACCUGUGAGAAGGUAUUUCUAUUUAUUAGGAGGCUCAGGGGAAGAGAGGGCCUCUCCAUGUUAGUAGCUUGCAUUUUUUGGAUGAUGGAUACAGAUAUAGGGCUUCUGUCAUGCUCCACAGUUCUUACCAGAGUGAGGGGCAGAGUGACACUGCUUUCUACCUUGUUUUUCUAAGGCAAGUUAUUAACACAUUUUACUUCUAUUAAUCUCUAAUACCAUUGCACUUAACAAGAUUUUAGGAAGCUUGUUUCACAAUGAGCUUGUUUUCUGUCAAUUAUUAGGUCAAUUUCAGGCUAAUAUGAGAUAUCCCUCACGCAAUAUAAAAUUGGAUCAUAUUUAUAAACAAAGAAAAGGACAAAAGGUGAGAGGGUAGGGAAAUACUCUCUUAAGCAAGUCAGCCUUGUUAACGAAGUUUCAUUUCUGAAAAUAAUAGUCAUUUUUAUGUUACAGAUGCAGAUAUGGUUCUCCAUUACAGAGGAGGAAAGAGUCAUCUGUAAGGAAAUUGCUGAACCUAGACAGGGUCUUACAUGUAAAAUGUAGUUAAUCUGGUUUGUUUUCUCUGUCUGUAAAUCAAUAUACUUGCAUUGGUUAAUAUCUUGGUUCUUGAUAUAUUGUCUCAAACAAUGCUCUCAUUAAAGAGCAUUUCCAUUGAGUUAGGUUUGAGUGUAUAUUAAUUUGCUUAUCUCUAUAUAUUAUCUUAUAGCUAGCUCCUUUGUAGCUAGUAUUAUAAAUGUUAAAUGGAAGAUAAUUCAAGUAUUUACAUUCAACCCUUCUUUCUCCACUACCAUGUUCUUAUUUACAGUGUAAUAAAAUAAUGGCAUAAAUAUUGAGGAAUUAUUUUUAUAGAGGUUUUUUUCUAUUUACUUGGUAUUUUUAAAUGGCUUGCCCACCUGCCUUCCGUUUAUACAUAGUCAUUUUGGCUGAUUACUUAAUAUACUGUACUACAUUUAUAAAAAAACUCUCUGGUAACCAUAGUAACUAUUUUUGAUUAGGUACAGCUGAGCACACGGUUUCAUUUUAAUAUAGGUGGAAAAAAAUAGAAAAAUUAUCUUGAAAGCUCCUGAAAUCAUUUGGGUUAUUAUUGGCUUUCAUUUAAGGCUCAACAGAGAAAGAACUGCUCAUAGGCUCUCUUUCUUGCUUCUAAUGAUGGUUUGUUUGUUUUUUUCUUUUCUCCUUUUUUAAACUUAGUAGGUGUGGGCUGUAAAGGAUUUAUAUAAAAGUUUUUGGAGGUAUUCCAAGGGCAGCUUGUCUUCCUGAAGAUAAAAAUCUAUUUAUGAUAAGAUUUACCUAACCAGGAAUAACACUGCAACAUUCUUGUCUUCUCUAUUACACCAGAGGGAGCAUGGCCUUCUAUAAUCCAAUUUCCCUUACACCCUGUGAUGGCUUGGCCCAAAAUCUUUACAAGGCAGUGUAGACUGGGCUGUAACAAUUCAAAGAAGAGCAAAGAUGGCCAGAGGAAGAAGUAUGAGUCUCACUUACCUCUCCCUUUAGCUUUAUGGAGAUUUUGAAGACUAUUUCCUGAUGUCCAGGCAGUUACCAACCUGAAAUGCAGCCAGGAUAGGAAGUUACCAUGACUGAAGCCCACCCUCAUGUAACCCUGUACACAGCAAUCCAAAAUGAGACACUUUGAGUUCUCCUGGAGCAGCAUCUGUGAGCAGCAGCUCCCCUCUGUGUGGGGCCUCUAAGAGUCAGUGAACUCUCAAGUUUGCUCUACCUAAAGGAUCACUGAAUGAUGAUGCUGGAACCUGGCCUAAUACCCCCGACAGCUUGAAGUCCAACCCUUUGCUCACUGAGAAGAUUCAGAGGCACCCAAAGUGAGUAUUUCACCAAGUCUGAGGGGAAUUUUUCACAGGUAUAUACCUUGUACAGAUUGUGUCUGUGGGCAACUGUGAAUAUGCUGAAAAGGAUGUACUAAGAAUAUUUUACUAGAUUCUUAA
Molecule: long non-coding RNA, 2770 nt
Organism: Passer domesticus (house sparrow)
Lineage: Eukaryota; Metazoa; Chordata; Aves; Passeriformes; Passeridae
Exons: 4
Source: RefSeq, a predicted model, not a curated record